AAGUAUUUUUUUUCUUUUGCUUUUUCUUAGGCUUACUUCAGUGUUUAAUUUAUUGCUUCGGUGAAAAUUCAGCUGAUAUUCCCUGUAGUAUACACUAUGCUACUGUGUGCCUAAGUAAAACUUAAGCUGAGGUCAUCCAGGUAGUUCUUUGAGAGGAGGCUGCAGAAGGGUGGAGAGACUUCUAGACUGGCUGAGAAGGGAUGGGAAAACUUGGUAGCAGAUUGCAGUCAAAAGAGAAGCAGUGAGAUCCACGGUGGGAAAAUGAACCCAGCAGUCCAUCCUAUCGUGUACCUGCCUGAAUAUGGGAAGAGACCUAGUACAAAGCCAGAGUACAGCUGGGCUUGCAGUCUUUUUAACCAUAUUAAGUCCUGUUCAGAGUUAAUGAUGAUCUCAGUGAGAUGGUCUCAGCAAUGCUGAAGGGAGGGACAGAAUUGGAAGGCAGGAGCUCUUACAAAGCGGGAUUCUUCAUCUUUCUGUAAUGCCCAAACAUGAAGACUUCAUAAACUUCAUUAGAUCCUGCCAUCAAUGACUGAGCCUCCCUGAAAUCUUCUUAUCAGUUACUGCCAAGAUGAGAAGGAUAACAGGAAGGAGGAGUGCUUAAGUGGCUUUAAUAACAGUUAAUUUCAUGUAUUUAUCAAAUGAAAGGUGGUUUUUUCCUCAAAACUCGAUUGUCAUGACAAGAUGCUUUUGGAAGUCAUCUUUGUAAAAUAAAACUGAUAAUUUUUAGGCUACAAA
This is a long non-coding RNA of Sturnus vulgaris (Common starling), 735 nucleotides long. RefSeq lists it as uncharacterized. NCBI's taxonomy places the organism in Eukaryota, Metazoa, Chordata, Aves, Passeriformes, Sturnidae. The record is from RefSeq and is a predicted model, not a curated record.